This 460-nucleotide ribosomal RNA is filed under the name uncultured bacterium. RNAcentral's name for it is "partial 16S ribosomal RNA". It matches the Rfam family "Bacterial small subunit ribosomal RNA", at positions 338 to 795 of the family's 1533-position model. The record is from RNAcentral.
CCUACGGGAGGCAGCAGUGAGGAAUAUUGGUCAAUGGACGAGAGUCUGAACCAGCCAAGUAGCGUGAAGGAUGACUGCCCUAUGGGUUGUAAACUUCUUUUAUAUGGGAAUAAAACGUUCCACGUGUGGGAUUUUGUAUGUACCAUAUGAAUAAGGAUCGGCUAACUCCGUGCCAGCAGCCGCGGUAAUACGGAGGAUCCGAGCGUUAUCCGGAUUUAUUGGGUUUAAAGGGAGCGUAGGUGGAUUGUUAAGUCAGUUGUGAAAGUUUGCGGCUCAACCGUAAAAUUGCAGUUGAAACUGGCAGUCUUGAGUACAGUAGAGGUGGGCGGAAUUCGUGGUGUAGCGGUGAAAUGCUUAGAUAUCACGAGGAACUCCGAUUGCGAAGGCAGUUCACUGGACUGCAACUGACACUGAGGCUCGAAAGUGUGGGUAUCAAACAGGAUUAGAUACCCCAGUAGUC